CUAAGAAUUUAUUACCUUCAUCCUCUUCCAGGAACUCUCUUUAUCAUUUGGUUUCAACAUUUAUUGGUAUUCUUCUAACCUUUUC
Molecule: ribosomal RNA, 85 nt
Filed under: Durinskia baltica
Lineage: Eukaryota; Dinophyceae; Peridiniales; Kryptoperidiniaceae
Description: partial Bacterial large subunit ribosomal RNA
Source: RNAcentral